RNAcentral lists this unclassified non-coding RNA (280 nucleotides) under Hevea brasiliensis (rubber tree). The record is from RNAcentral. Lineage: Eukaryota; Viridiplantae; Streptophyta; Magnoliopsida; Malpighiales; Euphorbiaceae.
GUUGUUCUGUCUCAGCUUCCAAACAUGAACUCCAUUGCUGGUGUUUCGCUAGUUGGAGCCAUCACUGCUGUUGGGUAUUGUACGCUUAUAUGGGCGGUUUCUGUCGCUGAAGGUAGGAUGCCUGGGGUAUCAUACAACCCUGUGCGUGCUUCCAGUGACAUAGAAAGGACUUUUGAUAUCUUAAAUGCGCUUGGGAUCAUUGCUUUUGCCUUUAGAGGUCACAAUCUCAUACUUGAAAUUCAGGCUACAAUGCCUUCAAGUGAGAAGCAUCCAUCACGAG